Molecule: non-coding RNA, 899 nt
Organism: Equus caballus (horse)
Lineage: Eukaryota; Metazoa; Chordata; Mammalia; Perissodactyla; Equidae
Source: RefSeq, a predicted model, not a curated record
CGCCCCACCCUGGGCGCACGAGGUCUUCAGAGCGGCUGCGCGGCUCUCCCGAGCGCGUACGGCUGCUACUGCGCCUGCGCGAACGCGCACGCCCUCCUAGGGCUGCUCCCUCCAGUCCAGCUCCUUUGGGACGUGCGUGCCGCCGGCGUCUUGUGAUCGAUGGAACCUGAGUUCGAGCCCUGGUCAACUCUGCCAUUUCCUGUCCAGACUGAUCCCUGGGACCAAGUAUUGGAGAAAAAGGCAAGUCUGCAAUUUACUAAAGCUGUGGACAUCACUUAACAGGGUUCUCUGGCCCUCCAGCUAUGAUCACACAAGAUCAGAAGCAUUCAACGUCUCAGUCACCACCACCCACAGGUACCGGAGCCUCGGGACAGCCACGCACUUUCUCAGGCUCUCAUGGCUAACGUGGGGCUACAGUGCAUCUAGAAGAGAAACUCCAGAUGGAGACACAUGGAUUAACGACACACGACCGCACUGUGUACCGCAAAGAAACCCAGAAAAAGUGUGGGAUGUGCAUAGAAAGUGAGUCAGAUACAGCUCUUAAAACCGAGGGAGCUCAUGCUUUAAUAGACACUGAAAUCACAAAGGAAGGCCAAGUGCCUUAGCAGUCUCAAUAAAAAUAUGAAGUUCUUUUUACAUGGUAAAUUUCGUAAUAUAAAAAGUUUAAUGCCAUCUGGAAACUGUGUAAUUUACAAAAAAAAGUCCACAUAGGCCAAAGAUGGCUAACACUGCAUACAAGGGGCGUGAGUGCCAAGUGGGACGGCGUCUGAGGACGGGAGAAGUGACCGCGUGUGUCCUUACAUGGAACGUCGUUGAAGGAUCUGGCACAAAUAAGGGCCCAGUUCACAAACCACAUGUACAAUCAUUUUAGAUAAAACAAUAAAACGUGAUGAAAAUUA